RNAcentral lists this ribosomal RNA (461 nucleotides) under uncultured Burkholderiales bacterium. RNAcentral's name for it is "bacterial SSU rRNA". It matches the Rfam family "Bacterial small subunit ribosomal RNA", at positions 30 to 483 of the family's 1533-position model. Lineage: Bacteria; Pseudomonadati; Pseudomonadota; Betaproteobacteria; Burkholderiales. The record is from RNAcentral.
AUUGAACGCUGGCGGCAUGCCUUACACAUGCAAGUCGAACGGCAGCACGGGUGCUUGCACCUGGUGGCGAGUGGCGAACGGGUGAGUAAUAUAUCGGAACGUACCUUAUCGUGGGGGAUAACGCAGCGAAAGCUGCGCUAAUACCGCAUACGCCCUGAGGGGGAAAGCGGGGGACCGUAAGGCCUCGCGCGAUUAGAGCGGCCGAUAUCUGAUUAGCUUGUUGGUGGGGUAAAAGCCCACCAAGGCGACGAUCAGUAGCUGGUCUGAGAGGACGAUCAGCCACACUGGGACUGAGACACGGCCCAGACUCCUACGGGAGGCAGCAGUGGGGAAUUUUGGACAAUGGGGGCAACCCUGAUCCAGCAAUGCCGCGUGAGUGAAGAAGGCCUUCGGGUUGUAAAGCUCUUUUGUCAGGGAAGAAACAGCAGCUCUAACACAGUCUGCGAAUGACGGUACCUGAA